UAGGGAAUCUUCCACAAUGGACGCAAGUCUGAUGGCGCAACGCCGCGUGAGUGAAGAAGGUUUUCGGAUCGUAAAGCUCUGUUGUUGGUGAAGAAGGAUAGAGGCAGUAACUGGUCUUUAUUUGACGGUAAUCAACCAGAAAGUCACGGCUAACUACGUGCCAGCAGCCGCGGUAAUACGUAGGUGGCAAGCGUUGUCCGGAUUUAUUGGGCGUAAAGCGAGCGCAGGCGGAAUGAUAAGUCUGAUGUGAAAGCCCACGGCUCAACCGUGGAACUGCAUCGGAAACUGUCAUUCUUGAGUGCAGAAGAGGAGAGUGGAAUUCCAUGUGUAGCGGUGGAAUGCGUAGAUAUAUGGAAGAACACCAGUGGCGAAGGCGGCUCUCUGGUCUGCAACUGACGCUGAGGCUCGAAAGCAUGGGUAGCGAACAGG
RNAcentral lists this ribosomal RNA (429 nucleotides) under bacterium. Its description in RNAcentral is "partial 16S ribosomal RNA". It matches the Rfam family "Bacterial small subunit ribosomal RNA", at positions 355 to 776 of the family's 1533-position model. The record is from RNAcentral.